This is a non-coding RNA of Hordeum vulgare subsp. vulgare (domesticated barley), 95 nucleotides long. Lineage: Eukaryota; Viridiplantae; Streptophyta; Magnoliopsida; Poales; Poaceae. The record is from Rfam.
AUGGACCUGAGGAUAUUUUCUCCAAAUUAUUGACUAUGACUAUACAAUGUGCAAAUGUAAUCCCAUCAAGAUUCCAAGCCAGAAAUCUGAUCCAU